RNAcentral lists this ribosomal RNA (497 nucleotides) under uncultured bacterium. RNAcentral describes it as "partial 16S ribosomal RNA". It matches the Rfam family "Bacterial small subunit ribosomal RNA", at positions 28 to 507 of the family's 1533-position model. The record is from RNAcentral.
GAUGAACGCUGGCGGCGUGCCUAAUACAUGCAAGUCGAGCGAACAGACGAGGAGCUUGCUCCUUCGACGUUAGCGGCGGACGGGUGAGUAACACGUAGGUAACCUACCUAUAAGACUGGGAUAACUUCGGGAAACCGGAGCUAAUACCGGAUAAUAUUUCGAACCGCAUGGUUCGAUAGUGAAAGAUGGCUUUGCUAUUACUUAUAGAUGGACCUGCGCCGUAUUAGCUAGUUGGUAAGGUAACGGCUUACCAAGGCAACGAUACGUAGCCGACCUGAGAGGGUGAUCGGCCACACUGGAACUGAGACACGGUCCAGACUCCUACGGGAGGCAGCAGUAGGGAAUCUUCCGCAAUGGGCGAAAGCCUGACGGAGCAACGCCGCGUGAGUGAUGAAGGUCUUCGGAUCGUAAAACUCUGUUAUUAGGGAAGAACAAACGUGUAAGUAACUGUGCACGUCUUGACGGUACCUAAUCAGAAAGCCACGGCUAACUACGUG